Pseudophryne corroboree (corroboree frog) is the source of this 596-nucleotide long non-coding RNA. RefSeq lists it as uncharacterized. The transcript is spliced from 3 exons. The record is from RefSeq and is a predicted model, not a curated record. NCBI's taxonomy places the organism in Eukaryota, Metazoa, Chordata, Amphibia, Anura, Myobatrachidae.
GUCGGCCACUGAAAAGGCAGCAGCUAUCAAAUAACUUAAUUCACUGGUGUCACAGAACGGGAGGGGAGGAGAGGUGCCCCCCUUCAGAGCAGGAGCCCGGCGGCAGAUGACUCCGUUGCCUCCCAGAGUUCUGCCUCUGUACAUGGGGCAUUUCUUCAUUUGGCAGAACUGUGAAUCAGUGCUGGUGUGGUGGACCGUGACACACUGCGCACCAAGUACAGCCCAGUGGAACGCAUGUAUGUGACUUCCUGGUGAUGACAUCACCGGAAGUGUGCCUCGAUGUUCAGCCCAGGACGCGGUGUCCCGGCUUUGUGUCUCCACAUUCAGCCCUCCCCCUUAGUUAGAGCAGCUGUGGCGUCUCUGUUGCUGCGCAACCGCCGCCACUGCACCAUUCUCCUCCCUCCUGCACGGUCAACCCCCCUGGGCGCGUGUGUGACAUCACUUUGCAGGCGCCACUCGGCGGGACACUGGGAACAAGCACCGCACAUCAAGGCUUGCUGCCUCCUUAUAUAAGGGUUUUUUUUUUUUUUUUUGCAUACGUCACUUUAUAUGCACCUGAUGAAAAGUCCGUGGAGCCUUGAAACGUUGUGUUAAUA